CCUACGGGAGGCAGCAGUAGGGAAUCUUCCACAAUGGGCGAAAGCCUGAUGGAGCAACGCCGCGUGGGUGAAGAAGGUCUUCGGAUCGUAAAACCCUGUUGUUAGAGAAGAAAGUGCGUGAGAGUAACUGUUCACGUUUCGACGGUAUCUAACCAGAAAGCAACGGCUAACUACGUGCCAGCAGCCGCGGUAAUAGGGAGGUGGCAAGCGUUAUCCGGAUUUAUUGGGCGUAAAGGGAACGCAGGCGGUCUUUUAAGUCUGAUGUGAAAGCCUUCGGCUUAACCGGGGUAGUGCAUUGGAAACUGGGAGACGUGAGUGCAGAAGAGGAGAGUGGAACUCCAUGUGUAGCGGUGAAAUGCGUAGAUAUAUGGAAGAACACCAGUGGCGAAAGCGGCUCUCUGGUCUGUAACUGACGCUGAGGUUCGAAAGCGUGGGUAGCAAACAGGAUUAGAUACCCGAGUAGUC
This 465-nucleotide ribosomal RNA is filed under the name uncultured bacterium. RNAcentral's name for it is "partial 16S ribosomal RNA". It matches the Rfam family "Bacterial small subunit ribosomal RNA", at positions 338 to 795 of the family's 1533-position model. The record is from RNAcentral.